GUUAUGAUGAUCAAUUAUGAAAAUGCAAAAGGAUUGAUAGAUCAGUAAACAAGCAACAAAAAGAUGGGUGCUCAUGGUGGCCUCCAAAUAAAUACAUGGACAGGCUGCUAAAGAGGGUCAGGAUGAUGGAGAUGCAAGAGCCAAAGACAGCACAGACCAAACACCAGGCCAGAAUUCUGCAUGAGUCAGCUCCAGUGAGUGUCUCUAAGGUAGAUCCUAAUGCAGAUGGAUGGAAUGUUGAUCCGCCUAACAUGCAAGAGCACUCGUUUUGAGUCCUGAGACCCUGGGGUGACCACCGUGAACAAAUACAGAAGCACUCAAUUUGAGUCCUGAGACCCUGGGGUGACCACCGUGAA
This is a non-coding RNA of Paramisgurnus dabryanus, 356 nucleotides long. NCBI's taxonomy places the organism in Eukaryota, Metazoa, Chordata, Actinopteri, Cypriniformes, Cobitidae. The record is from RefSeq and is a predicted model, not a curated record.